GAAAGUAGGAAAGGGCGCAUGGCGGAUGCCUUGGCUCUCGGAGGCGAUGAAGGACGUGAUAAGCUGCGAUAAGUCACGGGGAGGUGCAAAUAACCCUUGAUCCGUGAAUCUCCGAAUGGGACAACCCGUUACCUUGAAGAGGUAACAUCCAUCAAUGAUGGAGGCUAACGCAGGGAACUGAAACAUCUUAGUACCUGCAGGAAAAGAAAAUAACAAUGAUUCCCCCAGUAGUGGCGAGCGAACGGGGAAGAGCCCAAACCGUUCAUGUUACGGCAUGGACGGGGUUGUAGGACCGCGUCGUUGCAAGAAAUUUUGCGAGAAGAACGAUCUGGAAAGUUCGGCCGAAGACGGUGACAGCCCGGUAUUCUAAGCAAGACGAAGCAUAGCGGUAUCCUGAGUAGCGCGGAACACGAGGAAUUCUGCGUGAAUCUGCCGGGACCAUCCGGUAAGGCUAAAUACUCCCGAGAGACCGAUAGUGGACCAGUACCGUGAGGGAAAGGUGAAAAGCACUUCGAACAGAAGAGUGAAAUAGUACCUGAAACCGUGCGCCUACAAGCGGUCGGAGCACGAAAGUGUGACGGCGUGCCUUUUGCAUAAUGAACCUACGAGUUGCCGUCUUUGGCAAGGUUAAGGGACAUGAGUCCCGCAGCCGAAGCGAAAGCGAGUCUGAACAGGGCGUCAAGUCAGCGGCGGCAGACGCGAAACCAAGUGAUCUACCCUUGGCCAGGAUGAAGUCUGGGUAACACCAGAUGGAGGUCCGCACCAAUAAGCGUUGAAAAGCUUCUGGAUGAGCUGAGGGUAGGGGUGAAAGGCUAAUCAAACUUGGAGAUAGCUCGUACUCCCCGAAAUGCAUUUAGGUGCAGCCUUGCGGGUUACUGAUGUGAGGUAGAGCGACUGAUUGGAUGCGAGGGCUUCACCGCCUAUCAAGUCCUGACAAACUCCGAAUGCGCAUCAGUUCUACCGCAGGAGUGAGGGCAUGGGUGCUAAGGUCCGUGCCCGAGAGGAGAAGAAUCCGGACCACCGGCUAAGGUCCCGAAAUGACAGCUAAGUUAAACUAACGAAGUCUGAUUGCUAAGACAGCUAGGAUGUUGGCUUGGAAGCAGCCAUUCAUUUAAAGAGUGCGUAACAGCUCACUAGUCGAGGAAUCGGGCGUGGAUAAUAAUCGGGUAUGAAGUUGUCUACCGAAGCCGUGGGAUCAGCAAUGAUCGGUAGGGGAGCAUUCCAUUCCGCGUCGAAGGCGUGGCGUGAGCCAUUCUGGAGCGUAUGGAAAAGCAAAUGUAGGUAUAAGUAACGAUAAAGGGGGUGAGAAACCCCCUCGCCGAAAGACUAAGGUUUCCUGAUCAACGCUAAUCGGAUCAGGGUCAGUCGGGUCCUAAGGCUCAGCCGAACGGCGAGGCCGAUGGCAGAAACGGUUAAUAUUCCGUUACUACCUUUGAGGGUGACGUGGGGAAGCAGUAGUGACACUGCCGCGGGCUGACGGAAUAGCCCGUUAAAGAGUGUAGGCGUUGAUUUCCGCAGGCAAAUCCACGGAAAGAGCCGAACUUGACAGUAUGGAGCGUCCUUCGGGACAAUCCAACAGCGCAGGUAAUCAGACUGCCGAGAAAAUCCGCUAAACAUAACUUCAGAGGUACCCGUACCGCAAACGGACACACGUAGUCGGGUUGAAUAUACUAAGGCGCUUGGGUGAAUCACGGUUAAGGAACUAGGCAAACUGACCCUGUAACUUCGGGAUAAAGGGUCCCUCCUCGCAAGAGAGGGCGCAGAGAAUAGGUCCAGGCAACUGUUUAACAAAAACACAGGGCUGUGCGAAUAUGAAAGUAGAAGUAUACAGCCUGACACCUGCCCGGUGCUGGAAGGUUAAGAGGAGAUGUCAUCGCAAGAGAAGCAUUGAAUUGAAGCCCCAGUAAACGGCGGCCGUAACUAUAACGGUCCUAAGGUAGCGAAAUUCCUUGUCGGGUAAGUUCCGACCUG
RNAcentral lists this ribosomal RNA (1971 nucleotides) under human gut metagenome. Its description in RNAcentral is "bacterial LSU rRNA". It matches the Rfam family "Bacterial large subunit ribosomal RNA", at positions 1 to 1990 of the family's 2925-position model. The record is from RNAcentral.